UACGUAGGUGACAAGCGUUGUCCGGAUUUACUGGGCGUAAAGAGCGCGCAGGCGGUCGUUCAAGUCGAGUGUGAAAGCCCCCGGCUCAACUGGGGAGGGUCAUUCGAUACUGAUCGACUCGAAGGCAGGAGAGGGAAGUGGAAUUCCCGGUGUAGUGGUGAAAUGCGUAGAUAUCGGGAGGAACACCAGUGGCGAAGGCGACUUCCUGGCCUGUUCUUGACGCUGAGGCGCGAAAGCUAGGGGAGCGAACAGG
RNAcentral lists this ribosomal RNA (253 nucleotides) under uncultured bacterium. RNAcentral describes it as "partial 16S ribosomal RNA". It matches the Rfam family "Bacterial small subunit ribosomal RNA", at positions 524 to 776 of the family's 1533-position model. The record is from RNAcentral.